CAGACCGCUGGUAGUGGACUUGAGGCUGUCGGGAAGGAGGGGUGUGGCCUAGACCACUAAGGGCCGUGACGUGGUGCCGCUGAGCUUGGACCCCGACCAGAAGAUAGAGAUUGAAACGAUGAGGAAAACGAAGUGCCUAAUCCCCGCUGGACGCUAACUGCAGGGCAAGCUCCCCAGUGUUGUAGUUGUGUUUCGGAGGCCGAGAACCGCUAUCGGGCUUCCUCGGACUCUGGCCCUGGAGGGGGGAAACGGCGAGGGAGAAGGCGAAACGAGUCUCCAGUGUGUUCUUGGGGCCUGGUGCGAGGCCCAGAGAAUUCUCUGCAGGCCUUUGCCCGGGCACUGAUUAAGGCUGCGAAGAGACGCACCGGGCUGCGGGCUUAGUAGCUUCAGGCUUCUGAAGUCAGAGGGAGGGCUGAGAGCUUACACUUCUGGAGCUCCCCGGGAGACGGCAACUACCCAACCGUGUGGGUGUGUUUGUCACCCAGAAAUACUCUCCACACCAUGCUGCACUGCUGCGGAUGAGGGAAGGAUGGUGUCGGGGCUUCAAGACUGUUUUUCCUACCUCUUCAGUGCCUCUUUCAGUGAUAUGAAGUUAAAACCAGG
RNAcentral lists this long non-coding RNA (603 nucleotides) under Homo sapiens (human). RNAcentral describes it as "non-protein coding lnc-MRPS22-1:17". Lineage: Eukaryota; Metazoa; Chordata; Mammalia; Primates; Hominidae. The record is from RNAcentral.